This 436-nucleotide ribosomal RNA is filed under the name uncultured bacterium. RNAcentral describes it as "bacterial SSU rRNA". It matches the Rfam family "Bacterial small subunit ribosomal RNA", at positions 958 to 1398 of the family's 1533-position model. The record is from RNAcentral.
AACGCGAAGAACCUUACCUGGGCUCGAAAUGUAGUGGACCGGGGUGGAAACAUCCCUUCCUAGCAAUAGGCUGCUAUAUAGGUGCUGCAUGGCUGUCGUCAGCUCGUGCCGUGAGGUGUUGGGUUAAGUCCCGCAACGAGCGCAACCCUUGUCGUGUGUUGGUCCACAAGAUCUCUCACACGAGACCGCCGGUGACAAGCCGGAGGAAGGUGGGGAUGACGUCAAGUCAGCAUGGCCCUUACGUCCAGGGCUACACACGUGCUACAAUGCGCGCGACAGCGAGUCGCAAACCCGCGAGGGUAAGCUAAUCUCUUAAACGCGCGCUCAGUUCGGAUUGAAGGCUGCAACUCGCCUUCAUGAAGUCGGAAUCGCUAGUAACCGCAGAUCAGCUACGCUGCGGUGAAUACGUUCCCGGGCCUUGUACACACCGCUAGUC